Camelus ferus (Wild Bactrian camel) is the source of this 72-nucleotide transfer RNA. It matches the Rfam family "tRNA". Rfam says of the family: Transfer RNA (tRNA) molecules are approximately 80 nucleotides in length. Their secondary structure includes four short double-helical elements and three loops (D, anti-codon, and T loops). The record is from Rfam. NCBI's taxonomy places the organism in Eukaryota, Metazoa, Chordata, Mammalia, Artiodactyla, Camelidae.
GAAGGUAUAGCUCAGUGGUAGAGUGCAUGCUUAGCAUGCAUGAGGUCCUGGGUUCAAUCCCCAGUACCUCCA